UACAGAGGUCUCGAGCGUUGUUCGGAUUCAUUGGGCGUAAAGGGUGCGUAGGUGGCGCUGUAAGUCGGGUGUGAAAUCCUGAGGCUUAACCUCGGAACUGCAUUCGAUACUGCGGUGGUUGAGGACUGGAGAGGAGACUGGAAUUCAUGGUGUAGCAGUGAAAUGCGUAGAGAUCAUGAGGAAGACCAGUGGCGAAGGCGGGUCUCUGGACAGUUCCUGACACUGAGGCACGAAGGCCAGGGGAGCAAACGGG
This 253-nucleotide ribosomal RNA is filed under the name uncultured bacterium. RNAcentral's name for it is "partial 16S ribosomal RNA". It matches the Rfam family "Bacterial small subunit ribosomal RNA", at positions 524 to 776 of the family's 1533-position model. The record is from RNAcentral.